GGAACUUAUGGAAGGGUAAAUUAAUAUUACGGGGAAAAACCCUAAAUUGUAUACUUGCACCACGAUUGUAUGCUAUGACAUAUUCUUGAUUUUACCACAUAGUAUGUCACGUUGGAAACUGUGGACAUGGUCUACGAGUUGGUGAUCUCAAAACUCAAAUACUCUCUUCCCUUAAAGAUCUAUUUCACUUGAUGCUCAUUUUGCAACCCUCGCUCAUUUCUUUUGCUUUAUAGCCACUAUUGUCAAGAAGCCUAUUAUGUGAGAUGCGCGUUUUAAGAAAAAUAUUAAUAUACAUUGCAAAAAAUUCGAGACCUUCCAUCUACACCGUCGGGAGAUUAGCCAUCUCGCGACGCCAUACAUGUAGGUGUCAGGAAUGGGAAGAGAACUCUCGUCGCCAUGUAAUGGCAUCGGAAGAUCAUAGAAGAGCAUUCUUGAUGCACAACUAAUGGCGGCAAAAAUUUUGGGGAGAACUGGCGAUGCAUUACUUAAUGAGUCAACAAUUUUGAGAUAACUCCUAACGUCGCGUGCGGCUUCGGGAGUUUGUCUUUAAAUACCCUUCUUCGCAGAUCUCUUCCACAACCAUUUUGCGAAUUAAUUAGAAGAAAUAACGAAGGGAUAAAGAGAACGAAGGAAGUUCACCCACCAUUCUGCCACCACACCACUGUCGUCUUCAUCGCCUGCCCCGUCUCUUUCGAUGUUGCUGCCACCACUACCACUACUCAUAUCUCUUCUAGCUGUUCGAUGUUGUGGCAUACAAGAGGCCAGCACUACUGUCAUAUGUGUUCUACAAAAGCACUAUUUUUGGCUUGGGUCAUGAGUGUAGGAGUUACAAGAUGAUUUAGUUUGGUCUCUUGUGUUUUCUGAUGUUAAGCUUUAUAAUCGACCUUUAGUGUUUGGACUAAAACUUUUUGGUGAACUAAGUGUUAAUUGAUUUCUUAGUUUAUGUUUUCUUCAAAUGAAUGUUGUGGGUUAUAUAACAUUUUUCCAAAUUUAUAAAAAUGAUAAUAAUCAUUCACCGUUAAA
This is a long non-coding RNA of Cucumis melo (muskmelon), 1023 nucleotides long. RefSeq lists it as uncharacterized. The record is from RefSeq and is a predicted model, not a curated record. The transcript is spliced from 2 exons. Lineage: Eukaryota; Viridiplantae; Streptophyta; Magnoliopsida; Cucurbitales; Cucurbitaceae.